AAACUUUCAACAACGGAUCUCUUGGUUCUCGCAUUCGAUGAAGAACGCAGCGAAAUGCGAUAAGUAAUAUGAAUUGCAGAUAUUCGUGAAUCAUCGAAUCUUUGAACGCACAUUGCGCCCUUUGGUAUUCCAAAGGGCAUGCCUGUUUGAGCGUCAUUU
This 159-nucleotide ribosomal RNA is filed under the name Lodderomyces parapsilosis. RNAcentral describes it as "Candida parapsilosis 5.8S ribosomal RNA". It matches the Rfam family "5.8S ribosomal RNA". From Rfam's summary of the family: 5.8S ribosomal RNA (5.8S rRNA) is a component of the large subunit of the eukaryotic ribosome. It is transcribed by RNA polymerase I as part of the 45S precursor that also contains 18S and 28S rRNA. Functionally, it is thought that 5.8S rRNA may be involved in ribosome translocation. Lineage: Eukaryota; Fungi; Ascomycota; Pichiomycetes; Serinales; Debaryomycetaceae. The record is from RNAcentral.